GAGCAGGCGGCACCAUGGACUGAGCACCUCCCAGGUUCCAAGCCCUGGGCCAGACUGGAACAUGGGGGGCCAGAACCCAAGAGGAUCCUGAGGAGACAGACGGCAGCAAACAAAAUCAUGCACAAUGGUGAAAGGUGCUCUCCCUGACCCAUGGGGACCCAUGGUAGGACCCUCGGGAGGGUGGCAGGUUGGAGGGCCCGUAAGCCUCCCCAGGCAACACUGAUAGUACCAAAAGCUGGGGAGAUUCAGGGACCUGGAAACUGUCAUCCAGGUCUGCUGGGAACGUGACAUGGCACAGCCACUUUGGCAGCCAGUUGGGCAGUGGCUCACAAAGUUCAAUGGACUUGAACCACGCGUCCCCAAAGUGUCACAGAUAUUGAACCCACUGAUUUGAAAACUGACGUCCACAUGAAACCUGCAGGCCAGGUUCACUGCUUGAUUCCUCGUCACUCACACACGGAGCCUUCGGGGAUGGCCUUCAACACGGGAAUGGGGAGAACAAGGCUGGUCCUCCCUUCAAACGGAAGACCCAGUGAGAAAAGGGAACGAGCCAGUGAUGCCCGCAUGAACGUGGGUGGAUCCUAGGUGCAUUUUGCUAAGGGAAAGAAGCCAGACCCAAUAAGCUACCAAAGUAGGAUUCCCAUUCUUAGGCCAUUGUGGAAAAGGCCAAACCAUAGGGACUGAGAAGCAGUCUGGGUGGCCAGGGGCUGACGGAUCGGGGAGAGGCUGGGUGCAUAGGGGCCACCCUGGAGACUUGGAGGAUGAAGGAGUCGCUCCAGGAGGGGCUGGAGUGGUAGCCGGGAGACUCUGCACAUUGGUUUAGAACCAUGGAGGACCUGUACACCCAAAGACUGAAUUGGCGUGUGUGCAAACUGAAAAAAAAAAGAUCAUUCAGAGUGAAAAGGAUCAGGCAAGUCACUGUACAACUGGGCUAUUUGCAUGUCACAGAUGUGGAUUUUACUGAAACAUUUCUUCAACAGUCAAAGUCCCUGAAGAGCUCACUGCUUAUCUGGUGAAUCAUCUGAACCUGAAAUGGGAUUUGUUGUUAGGGUUUGUAGACAAAGUGAAACUAACAGCAUCUGCACAACACAAACCAAAGCCCCCUUUCUCUGUUUCCCAGGCAGCAGGAACUAUUCUACAUCCUCCUGGCAUAUUCGAAGUAUAACCCAGUGAGUAUUCCUGGCAGUGAGGUUCCCAGGCCGUAUUUCCAUAUUCACAGGAGUGGGUGUCUGGUGGGAGUGUCGUUGCUUCUUUUAAAGUUAGUAUUUGUGACCCACCAGGAUAUAGGAGGUAGGAUUCCAGCUCACCGCUGGCAUAAACCUCCAGCAAGGGGGUGGUCUCAAGGGGUCAAGCUGAGACACAGAGGAGUCAGGGCCUGGACUCCUGGUGUCACCUGGGCCUGACCACCACUUAUCGGAACAAGCCCCUCCUCCUGGGGCUGCCCCAAAGCCCGGGAGCUUGGCAGCAUCACACACAGAAUGGUGCUAUCAGGAGACAUUUUGGACAAGGUGCUGAAGUGCCCGAUGGAUAUGGCUCUUGUCAUGAAAUGAAUUUGCAUCCUGAGGAAGUCUCUUCUUCAGAGGAAGCCUUCCCAGUCACCUCUGCCCUCUCCGAUGACAUGAGUCCUCCCAGGUGACCUCAGCCCUCCCAAGUGACUUACUUCCACGGUGACUCUGGCUGUUGCAGGUGGUGGGCUACUGCAGGGACCUGAGCCACAUCGCUGCCUUGUUCCUCCUUUAUCUGCCUGAGGAGGACACAUUCUGGGCACUGGUGCAGCUGCUGGCCAGUGAGAGGCACUCCUGCAGGCUUGUUGGGAGCCUUUAGGACGUCUCUGCUGACGGUCCCAAAGGAACCCGGAACUGACCCCCCAGAGCCCAAGUCAGACGCCUUUCAUCCCCAUCAGCAGAAGGCAUCUCAUCCUCCCCGUGGCUGCCCUCUGUGUCCUGGAGCCACGCCCUCCGGCUCUGAUUCUGUGCAGCUGGCUCUCCGCAACCUGAGAGUCCUCCUGCCCUUCAGUUGCUCAGGCUCCAGCUGCCCUUGGUACCCACGAAAGGGUACCAAGCCCAGAUGGCAGCAUCUCCCCAUCCCGUGUCCCUUGGCCCAGCCCCACUUCCAGGAGACGACCACAAAGCCCAGCACCCACCCUGUUCUGGCCGCCCCCUGUCGUGGCCUCAAAGUCAGGCUUGCCCUCCCGGCACCCUGGCCCAGGAGGCCUCCAGGGGCACCUCCAGCCAGGCUCCAGGGGAUGUUCCCACCCCUCCUCCCCAGGGCCAAGGCCACAUGGUGGGGUCACCAGAUGGGAGGGUGGGAGGCCUCGGGGUCUGGGGGGCUCUGCAGCUGCCCAGCUCUUCCAGCUGAUGGCUCCACAUCUUGGGGGAAGGCUCUGAUUUCAUGACGGGCUGGGGGCUUCUCAGGAUUCCACAGCCCAAAUGGCGGGACAGUUCAGGGGCUCCAAGACCAUCAGGAGCAUGUGGUACCCACAUCACAACCCAAGACCAUGGGGCAUCUGGACAAGGAAGGUCUAUGCACACAGGGUUCCUCAUUCAGCUGGCUUCUCCGGGUGCUGAAUGAUGGGAUCUCUCUCGGGCUCACCCCGUGCCUGUGGGAUAUGUAUUUGCUGGAAGGGGAACAGAUGUUGAUGCUGAUAACAAGCAUUGCCUUUAAGGUUCAAAGGAGCCUCUAUGAAGAAACUAACAAGGAAACAUGGGGACCUGCCACCCCCAGGGCCCUCAAGGGCACUGGAAGAGCCAGACCCAUUUGUGAGAGCCUCCACUCCUCCCUGCAAGCGCUGACAGCCUCAGAGAGCAGCAGAGGCCCCUCACUCCUGCAGACUCCUCCAAGGGUGCCAGGACAACAAGCCUUGAGCCGGGGAGACAAGGGAAUCAGUGUCUCAUUAUCUCUACCAUCUCUACCAUCUCGGAGAGGGAGAUGUGGCAGGAUAAUAGGGUAAUAGUGGGGUGAGGGUCAGCAGGAAAACAUGAACAAAUGUCUCUGUGUCAUAAACAAGGUUAAGGAAAA
Molecule: long non-coding RNA, 3018 nt
Organism: Homo sapiens (human)
Lineage: Eukaryota; Metazoa; Chordata; Mammalia; Primates; Hominidae
Source: Ensembl